GCCGGGUGUGGUGGCUCAUGCCUGUAAUCCCAGCACUUUGGGAGGCCGAGGCGGGUGGAUCACCUGAGGUCAGGAGUUCAAGACCAGCCUGGCCAACAUGGUGAAACCCCGUCUCUA
Molecule: non-coding RNA, 117 nt
Organism: Homo sapiens (human)
Lineage: Eukaryota; Metazoa; Chordata; Mammalia; Primates; Hominidae
Rfam family: Metazoan signal recognition particle RNA
About the family: The signal recognition particle (SRP) is a universally conserved ribonucleoprotein.
Source: Rfam